RNAcentral lists this ribosomal RNA (496 nucleotides) under uncultured bacterium. RNAcentral's name for it is "partial 16S ribosomal RNA". It matches the Rfam family "Bacterial small subunit ribosomal RNA", at positions 29 to 507 of the family's 1533-position model. The record is from RNAcentral.
AUGAACGCUGGCGGCGUGCCUAAUCCCUGCAAGUCGAGCGAACGGACGAGAAGCUUGCUUCUCUGAUGUUAGCGGCGGACGGGUGAGUAACACGUGGAUAACCUACCUAUAAGACUGGGAUAACUUCGGGAAACCGUAGCUAAUACCGGAUAAUAUUUUGAACCGCAUGGUUCAAAAGUGAAAGACGGUCUUGCUGUCACUUAUAGCUGGAUCCGCGCUGCAUUAGCUAGUUGGUAAGGUAACGGCUUACCAAGGCAACGAUGCAUAGCCGACCUGAGAGGGUGAUCGGCCACACUGGAACUGAGACACGGUCCAGACUCCUACGGGAGGCAGCAGUAGGGAAUCUUCCGCAAUGGGCGAAAGCCUGACGGAGCAACGCCGCGUGAGUGAUGAAGGUCUUCGGAUCGUAAAACUCUGUUAUUAGGGAAGAACAUAUGUGUAAGUAACUGUGCACAUCUUGACGGUACCUAAUCAGAAAGCCACGGCUAACUACGUG